UACGUAGGUGGCAAGCGUUGUCCGGAUUUAUUGGGUUUAAAGGGGGCGUGGGUGGCCCUGUAAGUCAGUGGUGAAAUAUCUCAGCUUAACUGAGAGGGUGCCAUUGAUACUGCAGGGCUUGAGUACAGAUGAGGUAGGCGGAAUUGACGGUGUAGCGGUGAAAUGCAUAGAUAUCGUCAAGAACACCGAUAGCGAAGGCAGCUUACCAAGCUGUAACUGACACUGAGGCACGAAAGUGUGGGGAUCAAACAGG
RNAcentral lists this ribosomal RNA (253 nucleotides) under uncultured bacterium. Its description in RNAcentral is "partial 16S ribosomal RNA". It matches the Rfam family "Bacterial small subunit ribosomal RNA", at positions 524 to 776 of the family's 1533-position model. The record is from RNAcentral.